This 336-nucleotide ribosomal RNA is filed under the name uncultured bacterium. RNAcentral's name for it is "bacterial SSU rRNA". It matches the Rfam family "Bacterial small subunit ribosomal RNA", at positions 411 to 741 of the family's 1533-position model. The record is from RNAcentral.
AAGGCCUUAGGGUUGUAAAGCAUCGAAGGGGGAGGAAAGGUUGCAGGCUAAUACCUUGUAAUUGUGACGUUACCCAUACAAGAAGCACCGGCUAACUCCGUGCCAGCAGCCGCGGUAAUACGGAGGGUGCAAGCGUUAAUCGGAAUUACUGGGCGUAAAGCGCGCGUAGGCGGAUUUGUCAGUCAGAUGUGAAAGCCCUGGGCUCAACCUAGGAAUUGCAUUUGAUACUGCAGGUCUAGAGUAUGGUAGAGGUGAGUGGAAUUCCAGGUGUAGCGGUGAAAUGCGUAGAUAUCCGGAGGAACAUCAUUGGCGAAGGCGACUCACUGGAUCAAUACU